CCCCUCUAAGGGUCGCUCCUGGAGAGUUUCCAGUACACUACCAGUCUUGGCUAUCGGAGGGAGAGUCAAGCAGAGGCAUAUUCAUUCCAUUCCUAUCUUGGGCAGUGGCUAGUGAGUGGAAGACAAUCUGCUACAAGU
Molecule: small nucleolar RNA, 138 nt
Organism: Tachyglossus aculeatus (Australian echidna)
Lineage: Eukaryota; Metazoa; Chordata; Mammalia; Monotremata; Tachyglossidae
Source: RefSeq, a predicted model, not a curated record